CAACAUAUGGAAUCUAACUAAGGUUGACAAAUAAAGCAACAUGAAAAUUUAUAAUUUGUAAGUUACUAAAACCAUAAUGAUAAUUAAAGUAUCCAUAAUUUUGUGAUAAAGUUUUUCUAUUGUAAAUAUUUAAUUAAUACUAAAUGUAUAUAUGCUAUAUUAGGAGACAUUAAAAACAUGUAGGAAUAUGACGUCUAUCAUUUUAUAUUUGGUAUGACAUGAAUAUAAAAUCUUGAGAUGCAUUGACUAUAUCCAAUAUGUGUAGAUGUAUUUAUAAACAUUGUUAGAAUAGAAAACAACAUUCUGAAAAAUAUAAGCAAAUUUGAGCAUGUUUAGGUCUACAAAAAAUAUAUAAGGUUUAGUAUUAUGCUAGAGGUAUGAUGGCUGUGGAUGAAAAGUCUACUAUGUCCACUAAAUUGAAGGUGAAAUUGAUGUUGAAGUCUGAUGACAGAUCCAGAUUUCUUCUAAACAAUUGCAGCUCCAUAGUAGAGACACUAAUUAAAUUCAUUCAUGUUGAAUUUGUGGACCAUGUAUAGAGCUAUAGUUUUACAUAUCAUAAAAUUCAGGUCCAACCAUCUUUAACUAGAUAUUUGGUAUCUGUGAAAAGGAACAACUACAUACUUUGUGGACCAAGAAUACUCCCAGAUUCUAUCAUGAUUAAUUUUUGACCACUCAUUAAACCGAAUAGAGCGUUUAUAUAUUUCAAUGCGAGAAGAUGCAAAUGGGCUACCCUAUUCGCUAGAUGACAUAAUCACUUCCUUAAUCAUUUUUGGCCUUCCUUUCUUAAAUAUUUUCUUGCAAUAAGUGGGAAUAUGUGAGCAAUCCACUUUGAUUUUAUUUUUAUAAAGUCAAAAUGCCCAAAAGGAGGAAUGUUUUGAAUGUUUGACCAUGGAAUCAC
Molecule: long non-coding RNA, 898 nt
Filed under: Hordeum vulgare
Lineage: Eukaryota; Viridiplantae; Streptophyta; Magnoliopsida; Poales; Poaceae
Description: long non-coding RNA (HVUL_LNC008173)
Source: RNAcentral